AAAUCCGCCCGUCCCUCGCUGUCAGGAGCUGGAGCCGUUCCGGACGACCACCCAUCGCAGGCCUCCCUCCUCGCUGGUUACUGGCCAGAGACCUCCAUUCAUUGGCGCACGAACCUCGCCAUAGCCUGCUUGAGCGGCCUCAUUUCAUCACAUCUGGCUUCCCACCGAAGUGAUGUAAGAGGGAACGAGAUGUGAGCAGAUCUUCAGUUUAGAUCUUGGAGGUAUAUCCACUGUGGUUCUAAAUGGC
Long non-coding RNA from Myotis lucifugus (little brown bat), 247 nucleotides. RefSeq lists it as uncharacterized. Lineage: Eukaryota; Metazoa; Chordata; Mammalia; Chiroptera; Vespertilionidae. The record is from RefSeq and is a predicted model, not a curated record. The transcript has 3 exons.